UGGGGGUCUUUAAUUUGUCAACGAAUAAUGAUAGAUAUAGAUAUAAGAUAUUUUUUUUUAGAGAAAGAUACAACGCUAUCCGCUUCAUUCAUUUAGCAGAUGAAUUUAGCUACAAUGAUAGAUAUAGAUAUAGAUAUAGAUAUAUAUAUAAGAGAAAAAACUGAGGUUCUUUGGCUACAGGGAUACAUCAACUGUUCAGUUUCGAGAUGAUUUCUGUA
RNAcentral lists this long non-coding RNA (218 nucleotides) under Ananas comosus (pineapple). RNAcentral describes it as "long non-coding RNA (ACOM_LNC021858)". The record is from RNAcentral. Lineage: Eukaryota; Viridiplantae; Streptophyta; Magnoliopsida; Poales; Bromeliaceae.